AGUUUGAUCAUGGCUCAGGAUGAACGCUAGCGGGAGGCCUAACACAUGCAAGCCGAGCGGUAGAGAUUCUUCGGAAUCUUGAGAGCGGCGUACGGGUGCGGAACACGUGUGCAACCUACCUUUAUCUGGAGGAUAGCCUUUCGAAAGGAAGAUUAAUACUCCAUAAUAUAUUUGAUGGCAUCAUUAAAUAUUGAAAGCUCCGGCGGAUAGAGAUGGGCACGCGCAAGAUUAGCUAGUUGGUGAGGUAACGGCUCACCAAGGCAAUGAUCUUUAGAGGGCCUGAGAGGGUGAUCCCCACACUGGUACUGAGACACGGACCAGACUCCUACGGGAGGCAGCAGUGAGGAAUAUUGGUCAAUGGGUGCAAGCCUGAACCAGCCAUCCCGCGUGAAGGACGACUGCCUAUGGGUUGUAAACUUCUUUUGUAUAGGAAUAAACCUACUCUCGUGAGAGUAGCUGAAGGUACUAUACGAAUAAGCACCGGCUAACUCCGUG
RNAcentral lists this ribosomal RNA (495 nucleotides) under uncultured bacterium. Its description in RNAcentral is "bacterial SSU rRNA". It matches the Rfam family "Bacterial small subunit ribosomal RNA", at positions 10 to 507 of the family's 1533-position model. The record is from RNAcentral.